CAUGGGGCUCAUUGGAUUGGCAAAAGCUCAAAAACAAGCGCACCCCAACUAUUGUUGGGAUCGGCUAGGAAAGAGAAAGCAAGGAGCAUGGGUCCAACGCCAAACAUUUUGAAGAUUUAGAAAGUGCUAUUAAUAUAGCAGAGCGGCCAAGCCCUGUUUCAGUUCUUGAGCCACUAUUUAUAGAUGAUGACAUCAGCCUUUCAAAAACCAUUUCUCGACGAGAGGUGUCAAUACAACCACUACAGGCCAGUACCAGACCUGAAAACUGCUAUACAUGAGGUCUGGACAUGAGUUUUUUGGCAUCUCCUUCCGCUUCCAUUCCCUCGUACUUUGGACCAGAUUGUCACAAAAGACAUGUCAAGAACUGGAACGUGGAUGGACCUUCGAUUUGAUAUUGAGACCAUUGGUGCUGACAUGGGUUAAGCCAUUCUCCAAGAAUUGAUGGAAGAUACCAUAUUAAGCUAUGUAGAUGGAAGUCCCAAACGUGAAAAUGCUUUAGUUAUGGCCGAGUCAAAUGAAAAAGAUUGCAUUUUGAACUUGUAAAACACAAUCUGGCUUAUUGUUCAUGCCGAAAACCAACCCACCUUCUGGUUGAGGCAGUUGGAAAGCAAGUCAUAUAUGUGCAUACAGAUUCAGAGGAUGAGAAGCAACAUUUCACCAAUUGAGAGGAGAUCUUCUUUAGCUGUCCCGGAGUAUCCUGGAUCCAAGAUGAAUUGGCUUUGCAACUUUGUCAACUGAACUCAUGUAGAUAGCAUAGAAUCUGCCACAUCGAAAAACUAUGGCUCCCUCGGAAUCCUGGGCAACAGUUCUUGCAAAGCGUAUUUGCAAAUACGCUUUGCAAGAACUCAAAACUGAUAGGUACCAUUUCUUUGUCAUUGUCCAUGUCAAGCACUGAGGCUGUAAUGUAGAGUUGUU
Non-coding RNA from Prunus avium (sweet cherry), 915 nucleotides. NCBI's taxonomy places the organism in Eukaryota, Viridiplantae, Streptophyta, Magnoliopsida, Rosales, Rosaceae. The record is from RefSeq and is a predicted model, not a curated record.